GUCACUCCCACAAACGUCUACGACCGCACCUACAUAUUUUUGAAUGUUUACAAUUCUAAUUUUAAAGAUCCAAUCCGGUUCUUGAUAGCAAUUACAAUUAAACGCCGAUUGGGCCGGAUUGAUUCUGUUUAAAAUUAGAAUUGUAAACAUGCAAAAAUAUGUAGGUGCGGUCGUAGACGUUUGUAGGAGUGGC
Molecule: non-coding RNA, 193 nt
Organism: Paramuricea clavata
Lineage: Eukaryota; Metazoa; Cnidaria; Anthozoa; Malacalcyonacea; Plexauridae
Source: the annotation of a GenBank genome assembly